This 25-nucleotide non-coding RNA is filed under the name Mus musculus (house mouse). Lineage: Eukaryota; Metazoa; Chordata; Mammalia; Rodentia; Muridae. The record is from RNAcentral.
GAGAUGAAUGAACAGACUUGCCUAA